This is a long non-coding RNA of Solenopsis invicta (red fire ant), 1859 nucleotides long. RefSeq lists it as uncharacterized. The record is from RefSeq and is a predicted model, not a curated record. NCBI's taxonomy places the organism in Eukaryota, Metazoa, Arthropoda, Insecta, Hymenoptera, Formicidae. The transcript has 3 exons.
GUGGAGAUAAAUUACUUGCAAUCGCUCUAUUAUAUGCUUUAAUGUUAUAAUUAAUAUUAGUAUUGUGUGUGCUCUCUCUGUAGGAAAUAUAGAAGCUUCAAUAUUUUAUGAUAUAUAAGAGAGAUAAUAAAGGAUGGCAAACAGACAAAUAUUCCAAUAUGUCUCAGGCAACUAAUAAUAAGAAAAUGUACCAAAGUAUAUAAACAAUAUUUUUGCAGAAAUUGAACAUUGGAUUAAACAGAAGUCUUUGGUUAAGGCUCAAUUUAUUGUACGAAGUUAUUGAACACUUUCAUGACCAAAAGUAAAAGAUGUUACUAUAGCAUAAUUAUGUAUUUCAUACAUAUAAAAUAGAAUUGUUAGCAAAUACGUAAGGUGUGCUGAAAACUUUUGAAUAAUGUACUAUAAAAAAUUUAUUUCGAUGUAUAUUGUGAGGAAAGAAUUUAUGUCUUUGACGUCAUAAUUUGACACGGUGGCUGUGAGGAAACAGAAGCCUUAAUAUGUGUUCAGAGCAUCGCAUGUAAUGACUAAUUAGAAUUGUCAUUAUAGAAUUUUUUCUAACGACAUUAUUAAUGAGACUUACAUGUAUGGAAGUUCUUAUAAAACAAAUUACAUUGAGUAGAAGGGCGAAAAGAUGCUUUUGUGAGCCGACAUCGGAUAUGUAAUUAUUUGUAUAUAUUUUCUUCAAAGAAAACAAACAUUUCAACUCGUGAUUGAGUCCUCUUCAAUAAAAUGAAGAUUCGUAAGUAAUGGAAUGCCUGUUACAAACAUUUUUGUUUAUUAGAAAAAUAGUUUACCAAUAUUAUAUUAAAAAAAAAAUUUUUUUUAACUUAAAUCGCUGAAAAAACUUUGGCUUUAAUGCACCAAUCUAAAAUAAAUGCAGUAUAGAUAAAUAAACGCGAAGAAUUUUGAAUUAUUAAAUAAAAGUGAAGAAUAAUAAUUCUUGUAUGCAGGUAAAUUAAUUACAUUUUUUUGUUUCUUUUUUAUAACUAAAUAACUAACACAUUAUUCAGUGUAUUUUUAUAUUUUUAUAAAUCACGUUCUAAAUAAUAAAUAUUUUAUAAUUUGGAGUCUAGAAAUUAUUAAACAACGUUUUGAAUAUAAUCAUUUAGUUUUAGUAUAAGAUAUUGGUUAUUAACAAAGUUAUUGAAUAAAAUAUAAAUAGCUAGGUAUCUAUAUUAUUAUCUUCUCCUCUUUCUGCGAUUCAUAAAAUUACUCAUAAAAUAUAACGAAGGUAAAAAUGGGAAAUAGCAAUAUGGAAUUUAUGUGAAUAAAUUUACAUUGAUUUUUAUCUUGUGCAAUCUAUGCUGUAUUAGUACUUACGCCCGUCGAUAGAUGGACAUAUCGGAGCUGUAUUUCUCAAAAUAAAAAUCCAUAUAAAAUAGAACAUUACACUAUUGUUAUUAUGCUAUUAAAAUAUAAACCGUAUGAAAGGUGCACAUUAUGAGAUUUUUUGUCCAUGUUUAAACGAAAAGAUUCCUUGAAAAUAAAUUCCAAAAAUUAGACUCUAAGAUAUUUUGUGUUUCAUAAGAAAUGUAAUAAAUGUAUUAUAUAUAGGUGGAAUAUAAUACAUAAAAAUUUCUUUAAAUUUCCGUGAAAAAUCCACGCGGAAUGAAAAAUAUGGUAUGAGGAAAAUCGAUUAGAAAUAUUAAUAAGAUUCCACGUGGAGUCUAUUUAUUGAGCGGACUGUCCACUCAAUAAUGGUAAUGCGAAUUCUUGAAUGUGAUAAAACAUUGAUUCCACAUAUUUGUUUUCUACUUUAGACGAAACUAAAAGACAGAUUAAAAGUUCUAUUUUUUUUUCUUAAAAAUGUAUUUAGAAAGUUUCUUUACGAUUCUUUUAAACGAGAUGCUUAAAUUUUC